RNAcentral lists this ribosomal RNA (1241 nucleotides) under Bacteroidales str. KB12. RNAcentral's name for it is "bacterial SSU rRNA". It matches the Rfam family "Bacterial small subunit ribosomal RNA", at positions 121 to 1369 of the family's 1533-position model. The record is from RNAcentral. Lineage: Bacteria; Pseudomonadati; Bacteroidota; Bacteroidia; Bacteroidales.
CCAACCUGCCCACAACUAGAGAAUAACCUUGCGAAAGUAAGACUAAUGCUCUAUAAUUUCCUUAGAUGGCAUCUGACGAGGAAUAAAGAUUUAUCGGUUAUGGAUGGGGAUGCGUCUGAUUAGCUUGUUGGCGGGGUAACGGCCCACCAAGGCAACGAUCAGUAGGGGUUCUGAGAGGAAGGUCCCCCACAUUGGAACUGAGACACGGUCCAAACUCCUACGGGAGGCAGCAGUGAGGAAUAUUGGUCAAUGGGCGAAAGCUGAACCAGCCAAGUAGCGUGCAGGAUGACGGCCCUAUGGGUUGUAAACUGCUUUUAUACAGGGAUAAAGUUAGCCACGUGUGGCUAUUUGCAGGUACUGUAUGAAUAAGGACCGGCUAAUUCCGUGCCAGCAGCCGCGGUAAUACGGAAGGUCCAGGCGUUAUCCGGAUUUAUUGGGUUUAAAGGGAGCGUAGGCCGUCUGUUAAGCGUGUUGUGAAAUGUAGAUGCUCAACAUCUGAAUUGCAGCGCGAACUGGCAGACUUGAGUGUGCGCCACGUAGGCGGAAUUCGUGGUGUAGCGGUGAAAUGCUUAGAUAUCACGAAGAACUCCAAUUGCGAAGGCAGCUUACGGGAGCACAACUGACGCUGAAGCUCGAAAGUGCGGGUAUCGAACAGGAUUAGAUACCCUGGUAGUCCGCACGGUAAACGAUGGAUGCCCGCUGUUGACCCACCUGGCCAGCGGCCAAGCGAAAGCAUUAAGCAUCCCACCUGGGGAGUACGCCGGCAACGGUGAAACUCAAAGGAAUUGACGGGGGCCCGCACAAGCGGAGGAACAUGUGGUUUAAUUCGAUGAUACGCGAGGAACCUUACCCGGGCUUGAAUUGCAGAGGAAUUUACCAGAGACGGUAAAGCCUUCGGGGUCUCUGUGAAGGUGCUGCAUGGUUGUCGUCAGCUCGUGCCGUGAGGUGUCGGCUUAAGUGCCAUAACGAGCGCAACCCCUUUCUUUAGUUGCCAUCAGGUAAUGCUGGGCACUCUGGAGAUACUGCCACCGUAAGGUGUGAGGAAGGUGGGGAUGACGUCAAAUCAGCACGGCCCUUACGUCCGGGGCUACACACGUGUUACAAUGGCCGGUACAGAGAGACGGUUGCUUGCAAAAGUAAUCCAAUCCUUAAAGCCGGUCCCAGUUCGGACUGGGUCUGCAACCCGACCCCACGAAGCUGAUUCGCUAGUAAUCGCGCAUCAGCCAUGGCGCGGUGAAUAC